RNAcentral lists this long non-coding RNA (3944 nucleotides) under Macaca fascicularis (crab-eating macaque). Its description in RNAcentral is "lncRNA (ENSMFAG00000060978.1)". The record is from RNAcentral. Lineage: Eukaryota; Metazoa; Chordata; Mammalia; Primates; Cercopithecidae.
UCUUAGUAAUGCCAGAAAAAUAACAGCCGUUAUUUUCACUUUAAAUGCAAACCAAAUACUGCUGCACACAGAGUACAAAGAUUACCUAUGAACAUGGUUAGGUACAAAGGCCAUAUUAGAUGUAUAGACCACACUUUGUUCUUACAUCAAAGUAAGACCGACAGAGCAAUUUUUUUGACAAUUAUUUUAGCAAAUAACCGUGCUACUAAACAAAGGCAAAUACACAUAUAUACACAAACACGUCUCAACUAAAAUUAUACAUGUCACUUUGACAACCAAAUUCUCUGGUGGUUUCACCAGAUAUUUGCACCCCAAAGUUCCCUGCCCAAAUCCCGCCCCCAAAUGCUGACUUGAUCUGAAGAAAAAAAUUAGAGAUGUUCUUAAUUAAAGGCACAUUUGGCAGCUACUGAAAGUGGCAUGCAUCUGGCACAGGUGCGCUCUCCCUAAGCCACACCACAUGUACCUUCCAUCUGUUAUGCAUCUUGUUUCUUUGAGUGGUAGUCCAAUGUGACCCACCGUUAGCUAACUUGCUUUAUAAUUCUGCAGCAAUUGGCUACUUAAUGCACUAUUUUCAUUAAAGGCAAAAGGGAAAUUUGCUCACAGUCGACAGAAAAUGCACUUUACGGUGUCAAAAAUGGAAAAUAAGGCAUGGAAUUUACUAAACAAGUUACAAGUGCUUUUGUUGUUUAGAUUUAUAAUAUAGAUUUCAUGCUUAAGUAGAGCUCAAAAUAUUUCAUUGGCUCAUGUAUAAGGGAUUAUGAAAUAAUUUUAACAGUAAUGAGAUGUUUCAAAGAAGAAAAAUAUUGAAUAAAGUCAUCAUGUUCCCUUAUAAAUAACUUUACUGCAUAAUUCUUUCAGCCAAACCAAUAUUAACCUUGUGAUGUUUAUUUACUGGUAAAGAUUGAUGUGCAAUACAACAGGACCUAUACUUGUGUAGUCACACAAUAUAUGUUAAAAGAAUAAGUAAACCUGUUCACAGCAGCAGAAUACCAAGAAAUAAAUGGUUAAACUGUUUCUUUCUAAAUCUGAAGGAACAAAAAGGUUUUCCUCAAUAUGUACAACAUAAUAAAUUGGGACACUCCUCCUAUUUUGCUGAGCCACUUAAAAAUCUGAAUCUAAGCUGUCAUUAGAAGACAAACAAUGAAAUACAAGAUUAAGCUAAAUUUGAGAAUUAAGAUCAUGACCAUAAAUACCAACUAAUUUUUGGUUUACAUAAGGUAAUUUUUGAUUUAUGGAGGGAAAAAAACCUUUAAGAAUUUAGAAUCAGUAUAGCCUCCAGCUGACAUAGUAAUUGUUCUCUGGGCUGUUGUUGACUGUAGUAUUAGUGUGGCAUGCUCUUUGUCAAAUUCAGAUCCAUUAAAGCAUCCUUGAGUUGUUAAGAGAAUAGUAACCUACUAAACAUAAUUUGAUGCCCAACAACCUUUAAUUAAGCAAACUCUCAAUGUAUGCUUCCUGAUAAUGUGUAGUCUUAAAAUACAUCAGCCUUGAAAUAUUUUCAUUUCUAAGAGAAAUGUUCCACAUUUUGGAAUGUGGUUAACAAAAAGUCAUGCUGCAUUUACCCCCUUUGUAAUGUCCAGGAUUCAAAAGCAGAAUUUUGUAAUGAUGCAUUUAUCUCCUCUGCCAUUUCUGGUCCCUGAUUAAAUAUAUUUUCAUUACUACAAGGAUAAAUUUGUCAACUAGUUAAUGUUUCAUAUUGAGAGGAAGGCAAGGAUACCGCUUUCACCUCCACCUAAGGGCAUUCAAUUGAAUUUUUCUAAUCAGUUACCACUGCAGAAAAUAUUUUUACCCAAAUGUCACAGUUCAGAAUAAAAUAUCCUCCAUCCACAAUACAUAUAAAACUGUUGCACAGUGAAGUGGUCUCCUAGAACCAUGGGGUAGAAGAAUAGUUCCCUUUGGGAGAAAUAAGAUUAGAACUUCAAAUUUGAGUUUUUCCUCUUUAUAGACUAGAUAGGUUGAAAAGGGGUUAUCACCUUAUUGAAGGCUAACACAUUAGCCGAAGACAUACUGAAUGGGAUCCAAUGUGACUUUUACCAGGUUCUCAUUUGGAAUGGGCCUGGGGCAAUUAAAAAGAGAAGUAAUCCAUGAGACAUAAAAAGAGAAAUCCUAGGGACAAUGAGGCUGGCCCAGUAAAAAGUCCUGGGAGAUUCUGGACUAUGUAUCAUGAUUAGUUGUAGUGGCACUAGUAAGUUGGCUUACAUAAAUACUGUUGAGUGGAUGGUCUUAGGGACAGUUUGCAUCCAAGAGGAGAUUUGAAAUUAAAUUUUUAGGACACUUUCCAAAGAAGAAAUAUUUUAUAAAGAGAAAAAUGGCUACCAUCAUAGGAAUGGUACAGAUAUUAAACAAAAAGGAUUCAACUCUAACAAAUAAAUAAGAAAAUAGGAUAGACUGCUUAAUGACGGUGCAGUUAACAUACCUUCUGGUCUUAAAGGACUACAUACCGUACCAUCGCGGAUGUACAUUUUGCUCUAAUAAAUAUCAUAGGAAAUUAUUAAAGUACUAGGUUCCCACCAUGUUGCAGCACUUCUACAAAUGUCUCUUAAUAGCGUGGUUAACAGAAUUGCUGAAAUGUUGCUUCAUUAUUCAGAGGAUACAUGCAGAUGCUGAUGAACCAGAUAACUCUCUAAGGAUGGAAUACUGCACAUUUCACAGACAUUAUAGUGGAGAUUAAUAAAAUGUUUUCUCUUCAACAAGGUGCAUGCAUUUCAGUCACAGUAUUUGUUAGACUCAGAAUAACAGUACAUACGCUUUAUGAAUAAUCCAUAUUAUGAUAGUAAUGAUGCAGGUAGAUGUUCUGUCAUGAAUAGUUUUGAUAAAGCAGAAAACCUCAAGCAAGGUAGAAUGUUCAAUAGAAACCUUAACACACUGUACACAUGUUGCUUAGGAACUUAAAACUUACAAAGUUCUGCUUAAAAGAUACCCAUCCUAUUCUAACCAAGUAUCUUCCUAUAUGCCAAGCUGUGACUUUAGAUCAUUCUUUAAGAUUAAUACAUAUAUCCAGAACUAGAAACCAAGGCGUACCACAAAACGUGCUUUUAUGUUUAGUGUUUUUGUGUGUUUUUCAACUAAAAGAAAUAAGAAUCAACCAUUUUCUUCAUAUAAUAAUUUAAUAUAUGCCAGCCAAACAAAGUAUUUGUAUCUUUAUUCAAUUAAAUUAAAACAGACCUGCCAGGUAUAUUAUAUAACAUUCACUAUAUACAUAUGAUUUAGGCAAUGCAAGAUAAUUCUAGAUAUGCUGAUUACUCAACUAUGAGUAAAACAUGAGCGGUGUCAGUGAUGCCCAGCAAGUGCUCCUUUUCACAUUGGGUGUCUGCAUUUCCAUGGUAUGGUUAGAGGGAUAGCUACGAGCCAUGACAUGGACUACCAGUAAACUUUUGUGGGAGAAGGAGGGAAAAUGACAAUCUAGCAUAGAUUAACAGUCUCCUAAAUGCAAAUAGAAUACUUGACAGUUAUGUUUUUUUAAAAAGUUCUUCUGUCAUGUUAAUGACACAAAACUUCUUUUUUGAAGGCAACACCACCACAUUUUGUUUGGGUGUGUGGGGACAGGUGGGGAAUGCUCUUAAAAUUGGUAUAAUUAUUCCUAAAACAACAACAACAACAAAAAAGUACCUCUUUGGUGAAGCCUCGGUACCCAUUCAGUUCACCGUAAUAAUCUGUAAACAGGACUGUAGUACAGUGCCGGGCCUUGAUUUCAACAAGGUCAGGUACCACAGCCUUUCCUCACAGUCCUUUGAGUGAUUUUUAAGAAAAUAUUCUGAAGUAGAAGAGUAAAGCAAAGGAAAACAAAGGAAGAUAUUAAGAUCCCUGUUUACAUUUUUUUUUAAAAGUGCAUAAUUUGAAUUACAAAAACUGUCAUCAUGUGGGCCUGCUGGACACUAGACUGUGUUUUCCAUCCCUUUAAUGAUCACUUCACAAAAGAUCACUUCACAAACACUUCCCAAAAAGAG